ACAAUGCUUUAAGAAGUUCAAUUGUUCAUAAUAAAAAUUACAAAAUUUGAAACACUAAAAUAAGCAAUAACAAUUACUCCUGACUAAAGGAAAUCGGGAUAGUGUCUUCAGCCUUCCAAUUAUUGAGUCUGUCACCAAUUGUUGGGAAAAUCCAGCUAUCCAAGUCGCAAUCGCUAUCAGCAUCUUCUACAAUAUUAAUCUGAUCUUUGACUAUCUUUUCA
RNAcentral lists this long non-coding RNA (221 nucleotides) under Lathyrus oleraceus (garden pea). RNAcentral's name for it is "Pisum sativum (pea) long non-coding RNA (PSAT_LNC035716)". Lineage: Eukaryota; Viridiplantae; Streptophyta; Magnoliopsida; Fabales; Fabaceae. The record is from RNAcentral.